RNAcentral lists this ribosomal RNA (1904 nucleotides) under Escherichia coli. RNAcentral describes it as "partial 23S ribosomal RNA". It matches the Rfam family "Bacterial large subunit ribosomal RNA", at positions 911 to 2798 of the family's 2925-position model. The record is from RNAcentral. Lineage: Bacteria; Pseudomonadati; Pseudomonadota; Gammaproteobacteria; Enterobacterales; Enterobacteriaceae.
UGUUUCGGCAAGGGGGUCAUCCCGACUUACCAACCCGAUGCAAACUGCGAAUACCGGAGAAUGUUAUCACGGGAGACACACGGCGGGUGCUAACGUCCGUCGUGAAGAGGGAAACAACCCAGACCGCCAGCUAAGGUCCCAAAGUCAUGGUUAAGUGGGAAACGAUGUGGGAAGGCCCAGACAGCCAGGAUGUUGGCUUAGAAGCAGCCAUCAUUUAAAGAAAGCGUAAUAGCUCACUGGUCGAGUCGGCCUGCGCGGAAGAUGUAACGGGGCUAAACCAUGCACCGAAGCUGCGGCAGCGACACUAUGUGUUGUUGGGUAGGGGAGCGUUCUGUAAGCCUGUGAAGGUGUACUGUGAGGUAUGCUGGAGGUAUCAGAAGUGCGAAUGCUGACAUAAGUAACGAUAAAGCGGGUGAAAAGCCCGCUCGCCGGAAGACCAAGGGUUCCUGUCCAACGUUAAUCGGGGCAGGGUGAGUCGACCCCUAAGGCGAGGCCGAAAGGCGUAGUCGAUGGGAAACAGGUUAAUAUUCCUGUACUUGGUGUUACUGCGAAGGGGGGACGGAGAAGGCUAUGUUGGCCGGGCGACGGUUGUCCCGGUUUAAGCGUGUAGGCUGGUUUUCCAGGCAAAUCCGGAAAAUCAAGGCUGAGGCGUGAUGACGAGGCACUACGGUGCUGAAGCAACAAAUGCCCUGCUUCCAGGAAAAGCCUCUAAGCAUCAGGUAACAUCAAAUCGUACCCCAAACCGACACAGGUGGUCAGGUAGAGAAUACCAAGGCGCUUGAGAGAACUCGGGUGAAGGAACUAGGCAAAAUGGUGCCGUAACUUCGGGAGAAGGCACGCUGAUAUGUAGGUGAAGUCCCUCGCGGAUGGAGCUGAAAUCAGUCGAAGAUACCAGCUGGCUGCAACUGUUUAUUAAAAACACAGCACUGUGCAAACACGAAAGUGGACGUAUACGGUGUGACGCCUGCCCGGUGCCGGAAGGUUAAUUGAUGGGGUCAGCGCAAGCGAAGCUCUUGAUCGAAGCCCCGGUAAACGGCGGCCGUAACUAUAACGGUCCUAAGGUAGCGAAAUUCCUUGUCGGGUAAGUUCCGACCUGCACGAAUGGCGUAAUGAUGGCCAGGCUGUCUCCACCCGAGACUCAGUGAAAUUGAACUCGCUGUGAAGAUGCAGUGUACCCGCGGCAAGACGGAAAGACCCCGUGAACCUUUACUAUAGCUUGACACUGAACAUUGAGCCUUGAUGUGUAGGAUAGGUGGGAGGCUUAGAAGUGUGGACGCCAGUCUGCAUGGAGCCGACCUUGAAAUACCACCCUUUAAUGUUUGAUGUUCUAACGUUGACCCGUGAUCCGGGUUGCGGACAGUGUCUGGUGGGUAGUUUGACUGGGGCGGUCUCCUCCUAAAGAGUAACGGAGGAGCACGAAGGUUGGCUAAUCCUGGUCGGACAUCAGGAGGUUAGUGCAAUGGCAUAAGCCAGCUUGACUGCGAGCGUGACGGCGCGAGCAGGUGCGAAAGCAGGUCAUAGUGAUCCGGUGGUUCUGAAUGGAAGGGCCAUCGCUCAACGGAUAAAAGGUACUCCGGGGAUAACAGGCUGAUACCGCCCAAGAGUUCAUAUCGACGGCGGUGUUUGGCACCUCGAUGUCGGCUCAUCACAUCCUGGGGCUGAAGUAGGUCCCAAGGGUAUGGCUGUUCGCCAUUUAAAGUGGUACGCGAGCUGGGUUUAGAACGUCGUGAGACAGUUCGGUCCCUAUCUGCCGUGGGCGCUGGAGAACUGAGGGGGGCUGCUCCUAGUACGAGAGGACCGGAGUGGACGCAUCACUGGUGUUCGGGUUGUCAUGCCAAUGGCACUGCCCGGUAGCUAAAUGCGGAAGAGAUAAGUGCUGAAAGCAUCUAAGCACGAAACUUGCC